CAGCAGCCGCGGUAAUACGGAGGAUCCAAGCGUUAUCCGGAUUUAUUGGGUUUAAAGGGUGCGUAGGUGGCCUGUUAAGUCAGGGGUGAAAGACGGUAGCUUAACUAUCGCAGUGCCCUUGAUACUGAUGGGCUUGAAUAAACUAGAGGUAGGCGGAAUGUGACAAGUAGCGGUGAAAUGCAUAGAUAUGUCACAGAACACCAAUUGCGAAGGCAGCUUACUAUGGUUUUAUUGACACUGAGGCACGAAAGCGUGGGGAUCAAACAGGAUUAGAUACCCCCGUAGUCCCUGUCUCUUAUAC
This 301-nucleotide ribosomal RNA is filed under the name uncultured bacterium. Its description in RNAcentral is "partial 16S ribosomal RNA". It matches the Rfam family "Bacterial small subunit ribosomal RNA", at positions 509 to 807 of the family's 1533-position model. The record is from RNAcentral.